CCUACGGGGUGCAGCAGUGAGGAAUAUUGGUCAAUGGGCGCGAGCCUGAACCAGCCAAGUCGCGUGAAGGAUGACUGCCCUACGGGUUGUAAACUUCUUUUUUAAAGGAAUAAAGUGAGGCACGUGUGCCUUUUUGUAUGUACUUUAAGAAUAAGGAACGGCUAAAUCCGUGCCAGCAGCCGCGGUAAUACGGAGGAUGCGAGCGUUAUCCGGUUUUAUUGGGUUUAAAGGGAGCGUAGUGGGGUUGUUAAGUUAGUUGUGAAAGUUUCGGGCUCAACCGUAAAGUUGCAAUUGAAACUGGCAGUCUUGAGUACAGUUGAGGUAGGCGGAAUUCGUGGUGUAGCGGUGAAAUGCUUAGAUAUCACGAAGAACUCCGAUUGCGAAGGCAGCUUACUAGACUGCCACUGACAUUGAGGCUCGAAAGCGUGGGUAUCAAACAGGAUUAGAUACCCCAGUAGUC
RNAcentral lists this ribosomal RNA (460 nucleotides) under uncultured bacterium. Its description in RNAcentral is "partial 16S ribosomal RNA". It matches the Rfam family "Bacterial small subunit ribosomal RNA", at positions 338 to 795 of the family's 1533-position model. The record is from RNAcentral.